RNAcentral lists this ribosomal RNA (429 nucleotides) under Actinomycetes bacterium. RNAcentral describes it as "Actinobacteria bacterium partial 16S ribosomal RNA". It matches the Rfam family "Bacterial small subunit ribosomal RNA", at positions 355 to 776 of the family's 1533-position model. The record is from RNAcentral. Lineage: Bacteria; Bacillati; Actinomycetota; Actinomycetes.
UAGGGAAUCUUCCGCAAUGGGCGAAAGCCCGACGGAGCAACGCCGCGUGAGUGAUGAAGGUCUUCGGAUCGUAAAACUCUGCUAUUAGGGAAGAACAAAUGCGUAAGUAACUAUGCACGUCUUGACGGUACCUAAUCAGAAAGCCACGGCUAACUACGUGCCAGCAGCCGCGGUAAUACGUAGGUGGCAAGCGUUAUCCGGAAUUAUUGGGCGUAAAGCGCGCGUAGGCGGUUUUUUAAGUCUGAUGUGAAAGCCCACGGCUCAACCGUGGAGGGUCAUUGGAAACUGGAAAACUUGAGUGCAGAAGAGGAAAGUGGAAUUCCAUGUGUAGCGGUGAAAUGCGCAGAGAUAUGGAGGAACACCAGUGGCGAAGGCGACUUUCUGGUCUGUAACUGACGCUGAUGUGCGAAAGCGUGGGGAUCAAACAGG